RNAcentral lists this ribosomal RNA (441 nucleotides) under uncultured bacterium. RNAcentral describes it as "partial 16S ribosomal RNA". It matches the Rfam family "Bacterial small subunit ribosomal RNA", at positions 338 to 795 of the family's 1533-position model. The record is from RNAcentral.
CCUACGGGAGGCAGCAGUGGGGAAUAUUGCACAAUGGGCGAAAGCCUGAUGCAGCCACGCCGCGUGAAGGAAGAAGGCCUUCUGGUCGUAAAAUUCUGUCCGUGGGGAAGAAGAACUGGCUGUACCCAAGCAGGCAGCCCCGGCUAACUACGCGCCAGCAGCCGCGGUAAUACGUAGGGGGCAAGCGUAAUCCGGAAUUAUUGGGGGUAAGGGGUACGUAGGUGGCAACCUAAGCGCAGGGUUAAAGGCAAGGGCUAAACCAUUGUCCGCCCUGGGAACUGGGAUGCUUGAGUGCAGGAGAGGAAAGCGGAAUUCCUGGUGUAGCGGUGAAAUGCGUAGAUAUUAGGAGGAACACCAGUGGCGAAGGCGGCUUUCUGGACUGUAACUGACACUGAGGUACGAAAGCGUGGGGAGCAAACAGGAUUAGAUACCCGAGUAGUC